RNAcentral lists this ribosomal RNA (356 nucleotides) under uncultured bacterium. RNAcentral describes it as "bacterial SSU rRNA". It matches the Rfam family "Bacterial small subunit ribosomal RNA", at positions 8 to 353 of the family's 1533-position model. The record is from RNAcentral.
AGAGUUUGAUCCUGGCUCAGGAUGAACGCUAGCUACAGGCUUAACACAUACAAGUCGAGGGGAAACGAUAUUGGAAGCUUGCUUCCGAUAGGCGUCGACCGGCGCACGGGUGAGUAACGCGUAUCCAACCUGCCCACCACUUGGGGAUAACCUUGCGAAAGUAAGACUAAUACCCAAUGAUAUCUCUAGAAGACAUCUGAAGGAGAUUAAGGAUUUAUCGGUGAUGGAUGGGGAUGCGUCUGAUUAGCUUGUUGGCGGGGUAACGGCCCACCAAGGCGACGAUCAGUAGGGGUUCUGAGAGGAAGGUCCCCCACAUUGGAACUGAGACACGGUCCAAACUCCUACGGGAGGCAGCA